AUUCUUGUUGAUGGUGGUCCGCACAUAGGAGGUGGCAGGCUUCCGCUGGCUGGAUCUCCGCUUCAUGACCACCACACCUCUGCUGUCGGCUGCAGGCUCCACGCCCACAGUCUUGCGGUGAAUCAGCCCUUUUUAGCGAAGGAGUUGCGGGCCUUCAAGUUAUUGGGCUCUGUGCUGUCUGUCUACUUCUUCCUCUUGAUCAGGAAACUGGAGCAGUUCCUCACGACCAUCCAUUGCAGAUGCGCAGACAUGGCGGCGGCUUCUCUCGCAGCGGCCUCAGGGGCAAUUUAAAAGGUCCGCGCUGCGUUUAUGAGCUGUAACACGCACCACCGAGAAGGUCUGCAGCUUCACUGCAGAAGCCAGUGAGACCACAAACCUACCGAAAGUAAGAAACUCUGGACACAUGUGAACAUCUGAGGGAACAAACUCCGGACACACCAUCUUUCAGAACUGUAACACUCACCGCGAGCGUCGGCGGCUUGGUUCUUGAAGUCAGCGAGACCAAGAACCCACCAAUUCCGAACACUCUCCCUCUGAUGAAGUACCUCAAAAGCUAAGCUCCCAUCAAUCCUGGAGAGAUAGAAUCAGCAGAGCAUAGUGGCAGAAUGAAUGGUUUAAAAGGAACAGCAGCGACCAAAGAACUUUUUAUGCAGAGAAACCCCAAAUCUGGGGCAAAGCCCUCCUGUUCAUUUUAUCUCACACAAGGGCAUUGUUGAUCCAGAUGAAUGUAUUCACUUUGAAACGAGACCAUAGUCGCCGCUAGAGACAAAACUACAUACACUGACCCAGAUACGGUUCUUCCCCAGACCAAGUGACCCCAGCUGCAGCCGGAGUGCUCACAGUAAACUGAAAUUACAUGAAUGACACCCAGGGAAAGACGCUUGUAUUAUAAAGAGGCUACAUUUCUAUUUGGUUUACUGAUGUAUUAAUUUUUCAAAGUUUGGAAUCUCUUCAAAUACAAGGUAAAUGCAUUUUCUAAGAAUUUGGCCCAGUGGCACUCGUCUGGAUGUGAUAACCUGUUUUUCCUGUAUCAUGAUUUAACUUAAACUACUCUUGUAAGUGACUGAUUCUGUAUCUUCAAGUUACAUUCAUACAUCCUGUGACUGGAUAUUGACGAAUUCAGUAGGUGCCACAGGCAUAUCUUGCUUGUCUGAAAGGAAAGUUAAUUUUAUACUAAGAUGCCACCAUUAAAAUAGAUAAUGAAAGCAUUGUUAGGAUUUACCAGAUUAGCUAAAGCAACAAAACAUCAGAUUGUAACUAGAUGACCUCGGGGAAAAACACAGGAUGUAUAUUUCCACAAAACAUCCCGCAUCAUUUGACAUAUUCAAAGUAAAGGUAAGCCAUGUAUUUUGGCCUUUAUGUUGUUCACAGAAGAGUUCUUUGCACACUGGAUAUACAUUGGAAUUCAUCUUCCUUUUCUUCUUAGUAUGUUAGAAUAUCUAUGUCUUCAAAAGGGUCAGCCUCAAAUGAGUGAGCCAAAGGCACUUACAUGCAGACCAGUACUUAUUAGAAAGAACUGAGAAAUGAAACAUAAACUGAUAAGUGAGUGCAAGUCAUUCAUCUUUUUAAAGCCCAUAAAAAGAGAA
Molecule: long non-coding RNA, 1586 nt
Filed under: Homo sapiens (human)
Lineage: Eukaryota; Metazoa; Chordata; Mammalia; Primates; Hominidae
Description: non-protein coding LINC02240:2
Source: RNAcentral